UUUAACUUGUGCAGGGCUCUCAGCCAAAGGGCACAACAAGGAGUCAGGCUAUAGGGCUGCACAAAGCCUGGCUGCACUCCUCAGCAUCCAUGGAGGCAGCAUUUCCAGGUGCAUUUCUCCACCCCAUGCUCAGAAUGGGAGCAUCGUCCUGCACUGCUGAUGUGCUGAAGGCAGGAGGGAGCAGUUGGUGCUGCUCUGCACUGAGCUCGUGUUUGUGCCCCAUAACCAGAGGCGUGAUCAGGUACAUUGGGAAGAAUGGGGCUGCUGCUGUAUUUUAAGCCGCCUGGUUUGAAAGCUGUGAAAGCAGAACGGAGGAUUUAAUGGCACGUUAAAUAUACGGCUGAUUGUUAGGUCCAAUUCUGAUUCCAAGGCAAAUAUGGCCCUGGGAAUUAAGGAUGAAGAUGAGUUUCACUACGAGGAUCCAAAGGGCGGCUGCCCAUCUGUAGGGCCAUCUGUGGUGCCGGCGGGGUGGGUGAUGGAGCAGGAAGAGUCUGGAGGUGAUGGUUGGACCAUGGAGCUGCCCCAGCUCCCAGCCCUGCAGCACCCUUUGAUGGAGCUGAAUGGUGAGAACAAGCAGAGAGAAAACGCUGCUGAGCAGGAGAAAAUGGGAGGGGGGCACCAAACCCAACCCCAUUCUUUUGCAUAUUCAAAUGAAGUCGUAAUAUUGCUAGGG
Molecule: long non-coding RNA, 673 nt
Filed under: Coturnix japonica (Japanese quail)
Lineage: Eukaryota; Metazoa; Chordata; Aves; Galliformes; Phasianidae
Description: lncRNA (ENSCJPG00005018002.1)
Source: RNAcentral